GUGACGUCACGGGCCACCCGCCAGCCCCGCGCUCUACCAGGCAGAGCGCGUGUGGCCGCCGAGCACAUGGACCCACUGGUCAAGCGGGCUCGGCAAGGCCAGGAUGAAGAGAAGCUACGAACUUAGCAUUCCCAGAGCCCCCCGAGUGGAUAUCCGCGUGGAAAGGAUGUUGGCAGCCCCGGUGACCUCGGAGUCACGGCUGGAUCCACCCUCUUGUCUGAUUUUCUUAACUCUACUACGGUAAGAAGAUGCCCUCCAUCAGCAGGCCGUGUCUGCUGGGACCUCUCUGGAGACUUCCUGAACCCUGUGGAUUUACAGUAAGAUGCAGUUUCCUGGGGAGUAAUUCUGGUGGAUACAAAUUCCGGAGUAUUACACCUGGCUUGCCUGGAGAUGUUACAAGUAGCUGGAUGGAUUCUUCAGCCUGGAUGCCCACUGAAAACAAGGACCGAAACUAAGAGGAUUGUAUCUCUACCCUUGACUCAAUGAGAAUGUUUGUUGUCAUCUCUCGGGCUACCUGGAGCUCCCUCUAAAAUAGAGCCGAGUUCUGUCACCACAGACAUUGGCAGUGGCACUUGCAUGCCCCUGGCAAGCAGUCUAUCCUGAGGUGGAGGAAGUUGCCCUUGAGUUCUGGCUGGUAACCAGCACAGUAUACCCUUUAAGCGUUCCAGAAGGAUUUUGAGAUCCUUUCCUAAAUCAAAGGUGGAAUAUUUGGGGAUUUGGAAAAUUGAGCCAGUCUCUCAGAAGAACCAGUUGUGUUACUUUGCUGUGAGAUGCCUGCCCUAAGAGAGGAGCAGAAGGUCGGAACGGGUCCUCUAAUGUGAUAAUUAGAUGUGAAGCGUUGACUUAAGAGAUGCCAAGUAACUCAGCAGAUGUCACACAGACGAUAAAUAGCAAAGAUGGAAGUCUUCAUGCCGGAGGCAAUCCUAUAAGACAGCUGAGUUCUGCAGAGCUGGUAGGAGACAGACUUGCUCAGGUGAUAGAUCCAGCCAUGAUACUGACCCUAAGAGAAUGAGACGCUCUGCAGAAGACAGAAGAUUCCUGAAACUGGGAAAGGUGCCUAGAAAUCCUGAUAAGAGUGAAGAAGGGUACCUGGAGGCACAGCAGCCAUGUUGAACCUAUGAGGUGAUGAAAAACCAUGCAACUAGAAACCAGAAUGGAAGAAAAGAAGAAGCUGGAUCCUUGACUGAAUUGUCGAUGGGGGAUAGUCCAUCAUCCCAGGGCUAAGACCACCUCCAGAUUUCUUGUUUGGUGAAACAAGUCCUGAUUGUUUACAUUCCCUCGUGUUGAGCUGUCUCUUGCUUGUAGCUGAAAGCAUUUCUAAUAGAUAUUCAGAUUAUCAGCCUUAGCUCCAAGCUAGAAUACUCUAUGGGACCUUAGCUUCUCCAUGAAUUCCUUUGCUCAUCUGUGUAAUGCUCAAUAAAUGUAAAUUGAACCCUGAAUGAGGGACAAUGACA
This 1454-nucleotide long non-coding RNA is filed under the name Mus musculus (house mouse). Its description in RNAcentral is "Pvt1 oncogene". The stretch from base 59 to 215 matches the Rfam family "Pvt1 oncogene conserved region 1". The record is from RNAcentral. Lineage: Eukaryota; Metazoa; Chordata; Mammalia; Rodentia; Muridae.